RNAcentral lists this long non-coding RNA (753 nucleotides) under Mustela putorius furo (domestic ferret). RNAcentral describes it as "lncRNA (ENSMPUG00000030926.1)". The record is from RNAcentral. Lineage: Eukaryota; Metazoa; Chordata; Mammalia; Carnivora; Mustelidae.
GCAGAAGUCAUAACCUGCCCUCCGGGAUGGACCAGGAAUAUCGUGACAAUGCACAGCCUGUCCCAUGAUUCACCUCUGGGUCCUCUGACCCACCUCUCCUGCUUCACACGUAUGGGGAAGAAAGCCCAGAGACAUAAGGGGAUAUGCCUGAGGUCACACAGCAGUCAGUAGAAGACAAGUGUGUCGAUGACCUUCCAGUUCAGUGGGAGCAGGACCAAAAGAAACAGAACUGAGCUGAACCCUAGCUCUGUCAUUCCGGGCCAAUUAUUUUCAGUCAGAGCCUUGGCUUCCCUUUCUGGAAUAUGGGGUUCGUCUCAAGCAAAUUCGUGGAUCUUGGAGUUCAUUUAAGUCUGGAAGUUUGCCACAUCAUGUUAAGCCGUCUCGGUGAAAAUAGAAUGAAUGGUCCCUGCCCACAGGAAAUGUGCUGCAGUCAAGGAGAUGGUACAAAUGCGUGGAAAAUUCCCAGGACUGGCUGUACGCAGAGGUGUUUCAUAAGCGGAGAGCCCGGAGGGAAGGAGGCUGUGAUGGGCUAAGUCUCCAAGAAGCUGUGGUCCAUUAGGGCCCCUGACCCUGGGCUCCCGGUGCCCGUCAGCGAGCCUCCCUGCCCACCCCCAGCAGGGGCCUCAAACUUCGUUUGACUGACUGCCAGGAAAUAAACAACGACAACCCCAGCUAGAUUAGCAAGGCAGCAUAUGCUGCUCCUGGGAAGUUAAACAAUUGCACUUCUAAAUAACAGCUCAACAUGGACUAGGA